CGGAAGAAGGGGAGGGCGGGACGGGGGAGGAACACGGGGGGAACCGGCCGAAAAGAAGGGGAGAACACGGGGAAACAGGGGCGAAGACCGGAGAGCGCGAAGGAGCGCAGGAGCCGGAGAGGAAAGAGGGGGCGGCGAGCGCGGGGAGAGGGACCCGCGGCGGAGGAACGAGGGGGGGGGGAACGGCCGACCAAGGGGAGGAGACGGAGCCGAACGGAGAGGGGGAGCGGCCACAGGGGGACGGAGACACGGCCCAAACGCCGACGGGAGGCAGCAGGAGGGAAGCGGCCACAAGGGACGCAAGGCGGAGGGGAGCAACGCCGCGGGAGGGAAGAAGGGCGGCGGAGCGGAAAACGCGGGGGGAGAGAAGAACACGAGGGAGAGGAACGGGGCAGGCGAGGACGGGAGCGAACCAGCAAGGCACGGCGAACGACGGGCCAGCAGCCGCGGGAAGACGGAGGGGGCAAGCGGGGGCCGGAGGGAGGGGGCGGAAAGGGAACGCAGGCGGGCGGGGAAGGCGGAGGGGAAAGCCGGCGGCGGAACCGGAGGAGGGCAGGGGAAACGGGAAGACGGGAGGGCAGAAGAGGAGAGGGGAACGCCAGGGGGAGCGGGGAAAGGCGGAGAGAGAGGGAAGAACACCAGGGGCGAAAGCGGCGCGCGGGGCGGGAACGGACGCGGAGGGGCGAAAGCGGGGGGAGCAAACAGGAGGAGAGACCCGGGGAGGCCACGCCGGAAACGAGGAAGGCGAGGGGGGGAGGGGGCCGCCCGGCAGGGCCGCAGCGAACGCAAGAAGCAGGCCGCCGGGGGAGGACGACCGCAAGGGGGAAACGCAAAGGAAGGGACGGGGGCCCGCACAAGCGGGGGAGCAGGGGGGGAAGGCGAAGCAACGCGAAGAACCGGACCAGGGCGGGACAGCCGGGGACCACCGAAGAGAGGAGGGGGCCCGGCGGGGACAAAGGGACAGGGGGGGCAGGGCGGGCGGCAGCGCGGGGCGGGAGAGGGGGGGGAAGGCCCGCAACGAGCGCAACCCGGGGGGCAGGGGCCAGCAGGAAGGGGGCACGCGGGCGAGACGGCCGGGGACAAACCGGAGGAAGGGGGGGACGACGGCAAGGCAGCAGGCCCCGGAGGACCGGGGCGACACACGGGCGACAAGGGACGGGACAACGAGGCGCGAGACCGCGAGGGGAGCGAAGCGCGGAAAGCCGGGCGCAGGGCGGAGGGGAGGCGGCAACGCGCCGACAGGAAGGCGGAAGCGCGAGGAAGCGCGAAGCAGCAGGGCGCGGGGAAGACGGGCCCGGGCCGGGGACACACCGCCCGGCACACCAGGAGAGGGGGGAACACCCAAAGCCGGGGGGGGAACCGCAAGGAGCCAGCCGGCGAAGGGGGGACAGAGGAGGGGGGGGAAGGCGGAACAAGGGAGCCGGAGGAGAACCGGCGGCGGGAGCACCGCCGGGCGAAGGAA
RNAcentral lists this ribosomal RNA (1462 nucleotides) under Ligilactobacillus salivarius. RNAcentral's name for it is "Lactobacillus salivarius 16S ribosomal RNA". Lineage: Bacteria; Bacillati; Bacillota; Bacilli; Lactobacillales; Lactobacillaceae. The record is from RNAcentral.